GAUGAAGAACGUAGUGAAAUGCGAUAAGUAAUGUGAAUUGCAGAAUUCAGUGAAUCAUCGAAUCUUUGAACGCACAUUGCGCCCGCUGGUAUUCCGGCGGGCAUGCCUGUUCGAGCGUCAUUUCAACCCUCAAGCCCCCGGGUUUGGUGUUGGGGAUCGGCUCUGCCCUUCUGGGCGGUGCCGCCCCCGAAAUACAUUGGCGGUCUCGCUGCAGCCUCCAUUGCGUAGUAGCUAACACCUCGCAACUGGAACGCGGCGCGGCCAUGCCGUAAAACCCCAACUUCUGAAUGUUGACCUCGGAUCAGGUAGGAAUACCCGCUGAACUUAAGCAUAUCAAUAAGCGGAGGA
RNAcentral lists this unclassified non-coding RNA (348 nucleotides) under soil metagenome. RNAcentral describes it as "partial contains 5.8S ribosomal RNA, internal transcribed spacer 2, and large subunit ribosomal RNA". The stretch from base 1 to 120 matches the Rfam family "5.8S ribosomal RNA", at positions 35 to 154 of the family's 154-position model. The record is from RNAcentral.